This 226-nucleotide long non-coding RNA is filed under the name Elaeis guineensis (African oil palm). RNAcentral describes it as "long non-coding RNA (EGUI_LNC011200)". Lineage: Eukaryota; Viridiplantae; Streptophyta; Magnoliopsida; Arecales; Arecaceae. The record is from RNAcentral.
CCCUGUUCAUCGAUGGAAUAAUCUCAUUUUAGCUGUCGAAAAAUUAGAUCAAAUCUCUUCAAAAAUUAGGUAAAUCUCUUCUCUCUUAUUCCCUCAAUCUUUUAGGGGUUUUAAUCUUGAAUCUUUGUAAAUUUUUUAUUAAAAAAUUAUUUAAAAAUCACUAUUUUUUGGAUGCCCUAUUUUUUUUCUUUGUUUUUUGAUUUUUCGACUGUUGGUUGCUGUCGCC